CUUGGUGCAGAGGGACGACCUCCUCAUCCUCACGGAGCCCAAGUGCAUGGUCAUGUCUGUCGUUAUCGCCCAUGGGGAGAAGAGGUCUUAAGAUGCACCUGCUGACCUGCUGAGAGAUUGGGGAAAGAAGUGUCUGAUGAUACACUUGCUGCUUGGUUGGGGGCUCAUCAAAGCCCCCAUAGGGGAGAGGUGAGGAGUGGGCCACAUACCUUUCUACGCAGCGGGUAAGAAGGAGCAGGAGGGGUUGCUCGAGGUGGCGAGGGGGCAUUACUGUGAGACGGGUGGGGCCAUGACAAGGGCCUGACAAUUGCUGUCAUGACCAGAGGCUUUGAGUUCUGUCUCCUUGUGGGGAACUGGAAGUCCCUCACCUAUUCCAAGGAGGCAAAGAGAAAAGGGUACAACCCACAAAACGUAUCCGUGGUCACAUUAUGUUGAAAUAGAGUGAGUACAUAUUUUCCCAUAAUGGUGGAAAUAGAAAUUUGGCUUUCAGUCAUGACCCAGUCACUGAUUUUCUGUCCUCUCUAUGGACAACCAUAAGUUUGCAUGAAAAACGUGCAAUAAUUAUUCCCUCCCAUUGUGCACCAGCAGGAGAUCCGCACAGGCACAGGAGGAAACUAUGAGCUCCUGGGAGAGAACCACGCAGACGGAGCAGGGGGAAACAGCCCUGGGGCUCCCACUCAGGAAGCUUUUCUCUUCUCAUUGGUUGAGAACGAAUAGAGUGUAACCAUCACCUGGGACAGCGGGGAAUGUUUUACUCAGUAAGCCCAACAAAGCUUCAAGACAAAAACCCAAAAGACCAAAGUUUGCAAAUGAGGUUCCUGCUAGCCACCUCAAGACACAUAUAAUGUUGAGCAGCGGAACACCCCAGGAGUGACACAGCAGUGGACCAGAGUAUCUUCAAUGCAGACUGAACUUUGGAAAUGAGGAGGCGUUUCAGAGCUUGUUUGCAGCGUUCCGUCAAUUUUCUACUGUCCAGCAAGGUGACCCCGUCAC
Long non-coding RNA from Phacochoerus africanus (Common warthog), 993 nucleotides. RefSeq lists it as uncharacterized. The record is from RefSeq and is a predicted model, not a curated record. Lineage: Eukaryota; Metazoa; Chordata; Mammalia; Artiodactyla; Suidae. The transcript has 3 exons.